CCUACGGGAGGCAGCAGUGAGGAAUAUUGGUCAAUGGACGGAAGUCUGAACCAGCCAAGCCGCGUGCAGGAAGACGGCCCUAUGAGUUGUAAACUUCUUUUGUCCGAGAGCAAACCCGAAUACGUGUAUUCGGAUGAAUGUACCGUACGAAUAAGGAUCGGCUAACUCCGUGCCAGCAGCCGCGGUAAUACGGAGGAUCCAAGCGUUAUCCCGAUUUAUUGGGUUUAAAGGGUGCGUAGGCGGUGUGAUAAGUUAGCGGUGAAAUGUCCGAGCUUAACUCCGGAACUGCCUUUGAAACUGGUGAUCUAGAGUGGGAGUGAGGUAGGCGGAAUGUGUGGUGUAGCGGUGAAAUGCAUAGAGAUCAUGCAGAACUCCGAUUGCGAAGGCAGCAUACCGGUCUAUAACUGACGUUGAGGCACGAAAGCGUGGGGAGCGAACAGGAUUAGAUACCCCAGUAGUC
This 460-nucleotide ribosomal RNA is filed under the name uncultured bacterium. RNAcentral describes it as "partial 16S ribosomal RNA". It matches the Rfam family "Bacterial small subunit ribosomal RNA", at positions 338 to 795 of the family's 1533-position model. The record is from RNAcentral.